Molecule: ribosomal RNA, 373 nt
Filed under: uncultured organism
Description: bacterial SSU rRNA
Rfam family: Bacterial small subunit ribosomal RNA
Source: RNAcentral
CGUAGGGUCCGAGCGUUGUCCGGAAUUAUUGGGCGUAAAGGGCUUGUAGGCGGUUCGUCACGUCGGAAGUGAAAACUCAGGGCUUAACCCUGAGCCUGCUUCCGAUACGGGCAAACUAGAGGGAUGCAGGGGAGAACGGAAUUCCUGGUGGAGCGGUGGAAUGCGCAGAUAUCAGGAGGAACACCGGUGGCGAAGGCGGUUCUCUGGGCAUCUCCUGACGCUGAGAAGCGAAAGCGUGGGGAGCAAACAGGCUUAGAUACCCUGGUAGUCCACGCCGUAAACGGUGGGCACUAGGUGUGGGGGACAUUCCACGUUCUCCGUGCCGAAGCUAACGCAUUAAGUGCCCCGCCUGGGGAGUACGGCCGCAAGGCUA